This 687-nucleotide ribosomal RNA is filed under the name uncultured Clostridium sp. RNAcentral's name for it is "bacterial SSU rRNA". It matches the Rfam family "Bacterial small subunit ribosomal RNA", at positions 58 to 773 of the family's 1533-position model. The record is from RNAcentral. Lineage: Bacteria; Bacillati; Bacillota; Clostridia; Eubacteriales; Clostridiaceae.
CAAGUCGAGCGAUUCUCUUUGGAGAAGAGCGGCGGACGGGUGAGUAACGCGUGGGUAACCUGCCCUGUACACACGGAUAACAUACCGAAAGGUAUGCUAAUACGGGAUAACAUAAGAAAUUCGCAUGUUUUUCUUAUCAAAGCUCCGGCGGUACAGGAUGGACCCGCGUCUGAUUAGCUAGUUGGUGAGGUAACGGCUCACCAAGGCGACGAUCAGUAGCCGACCUGAGAGGGUGAUCGGCCACAUUGGAACUGAGACACGGUCCAAACUCCUACGGGAGGCAGCAGUGGGGAAUAUUGCACAAUGGGCGAAAGCCUGAUGCAGCAACGCCGCGUGAGCGAUGAAGGCCUUCGGGUCGUAAAGCUCUGUCCUCAAGGAAGAUAAUGACGGUACUUGAGGAGGAAGCCCCGGCUAACUACGUGCCAGCAGCCGCGGUAAUACGUAGGGGGCUAGCGUUAUCCGGAUUUACUGGGCGUAAAGGGUGCGUAGGCGGUCUUUUAAGUCAGGAGUGAAAGGCUACGGCUCAACCGUAGUAAGCUCUUGAAACUGGAGGACUUGAGUGCAGGAGAGGAGAGUGGAAUUCCUAGUGUAGCGGUGAAAUGCGUAGAUAUUAGGAGGAACACCAGUAGCGAAGGCGGCUCUCUGGACUGUAACUGACGCUGAGGCACGAAAGCGUGGGGAGCAAAC